RNAcentral lists this transfer RNA (70 nucleotides) under Dipodomys ordii (Ord's kangaroo rat). It matches the Rfam family "tRNA". From Rfam's summary of the family: Transfer RNA (tRNA) molecules are approximately 80 nucleotides in length. Their secondary structure includes four short double-helical elements and three loops (D, anti-codon, and T loops). The record is from Rfam by way of RNAcentral. Lineage: Eukaryota; Metazoa; Chordata; Mammalia; Rodentia; Heteromyidae.
GGGAAAGUAGCUCAGUGGUAGAGUGCUUGCCUUGAAUGCAUGAGGCCCUGGGUUCAAUUCCUCAGUACCA